AACGCAAAUUGCGCUCCUUGGUAUUCCGAGGAGCAUGCCUGUUUGAGUGUCAUGAAAUCAUCCACCUCACCUUUGGGCUUUUGUCCGAGGGUCCGGCUGGGACUUGGGUGUUUGCGCGGCGAUAAGCCCCGCUCACCUUAAACACAUUGUAAAGAUCUAGCCUGCUGGCCGGUUUGACUUGGCGUUAUAAAUUAUUUCGCUGAGGACACUCGCAAGGGUGGCCGUCCGACAUCUGCAUCUUGUCUCGAAAGUGUUCCACACUUGAAGAGGCUACAAACUUUUGACAUCUGGCCUCAAAUCAGGUAGGACUACCCGCUGAACUUAA
This 325-nucleotide unclassified non-coding RNA is filed under the name uncultured fungus. Its description in RNAcentral is "partial contains 5.8S ribosomal RNA, internal transcribed spacer 2, and large subunit ribosomal RNA". The stretch from base 1 to 52 matches the Rfam family "5.8S ribosomal RNA", at positions 103 to 154 of the family's 154-position model. The record is from RNAcentral. Lineage: Eukaryota; Fungi.